RNAcentral lists this ribosomal RNA (229 nucleotides) under Staphylococcus aureus. Its description in RNAcentral is "partial 16S ribosomal RNA". It matches the Rfam family "Bacterial small subunit ribosomal RNA", at positions 1 to 218 of the family's 1533-position model. The record is from RNAcentral. Lineage: Bacteria; Bacillati; Bacillota; Bacilli; Caryophanales; Staphylococcaceae.
UUUUAUGGAGAGUUUGAUCCUGGCUCAGGAUGAACGCUGGCGGCGUGCCUAAUACAUGCAAGUCGAGCGAACGGACGAGAAGCUUGCUUCUCUGAUGUUAGCGGCGGACGGGUGAGUAACACGUGGAUAACCUACCUAUAAGACUGGGAUAACUUCGGGAAACCGGAGCUAAUACCGGAUAAUAUUUUGAACCGCAUGGUUCAAAAGUGAAAGACGGUCUUGCUGUCAC